UGUUCAUUUUGUUUAUUUUAUCAAGAUUAUCAAGAUGAAAUCGUUGACUGUUGCUUUAGUGGCAUUUUUAGCGACUGUACUUCCUUACUGCCACGCCUACUGUUACGCCAGAGAAAUAGUCAGACUAUUUGAUAUAAAAACAAUGAGUCCAGUCGAUUACUGCGAAUUAGGAACAAAAAAGUGGGAGAUAGAUGAGCAAACAGUAGAUUUAGUAACAUGUGAAAUAUGCACAUGUAGUUCAACUAGUUUGACUUGUUGUGGAAUUGGAUAUAACGCAGGGAAAGCUUACACACCAGAAGGGUGUAUUCAGAAAAGACUAGAAAACUGUUGUUACCAAUUUGUCCUAAGAGCAAAUUACUCUGUCCCUUGUCGUCGUGAAAGGUGCCCCUGAUAAGCCUAGAGAACAAAUAAGAUACACGCAAUUAGUUAUAUAGAACCAGUUAUAUUAACUAUAGAUCCAUCUGUAAAAAUAUUAACUUUGUAUUUCAAUAAAAUGUGAACACAGUU
Molecule: long non-coding RNA, 507 nt
Organism: Patella vulgata (common limpet)
Lineage: Eukaryota; Metazoa; Mollusca; Gastropoda; Patellidae
Exons: 3
Source: RefSeq, a predicted model, not a curated record